AGCAUGUGCGCGAGUCAUUGGGAAUAUCUCUAAACCUAAAGGCGUAAUGAAAGUAAAGGUUCUCCUCGCGAGAACCGAGGGAGGAUGGGCGGUUUUCACCCUUAAAAGUGGCCGCCCCGCACUCCCGGGGCGUCUCGUUCUCAUCGCGAGAAGAGGCGCACCAAGAGCGUACACGCUGGGACCCGAAAGAUGGUGAACUAUGCCUGGUCAGGACGAAGUCAGGGGAAACCCUGAUGGAGGUCCGUAGCGAUUCUGACGUGCAAAUCGAUCGUCGGAACUGGGUAUAGGGGCGAAAGACUAAUCGAACCAUCUAGUAGCUGGUUCCCUCCGAAGUUUCCCUCAGGAUAGCUGGCGCUCGUAGCGUACGAGUCUCAUCCGGUAAAGCGAAUGAUUAGAGGCAUUGGGGUCGAAACGACCUCGACCUAUUCUCAAACUUUAAAUGGGUGAGAUCUCCGGCUUGCUCGAACACACACUAAAACGUUGAAGCCGCGUGACACACGGAUCAGAGUGCCAAGUGGGCCAUUUUUGGUAAGCAGAACUGGCGCUGUGGGAUGAACCAAACGUCGAGUUAAAGCGCCUAAAUCGACGCUUAUGGGAUACCAUGAAAGGCGUUGGUAACUUAAGACAGCAGGACGGUGGCCAUGGAAGUCGGA
RNAcentral lists this ribosomal RNA (653 nucleotides) under Trigonopterus sp. 804 AR-2022a. Its description in RNAcentral is "partial large subunit ribosomal RNA". It matches the Rfam family "Eukaryotic large subunit ribosomal RNA", at positions 677 to 1265 of the family's 3401-position model. Lineage: Eukaryota; Metazoa; Arthropoda; Insecta; Coleoptera; Curculionidae. The record is from RNAcentral.